Centrocercus urophasianus (Greater sage-grouse) is the source of this 529-nucleotide long non-coding RNA. RefSeq lists it as uncharacterized. The record is from RefSeq and is a predicted model, not a curated record. The transcript has 4 exons. NCBI's taxonomy places the organism in Eukaryota, Metazoa, Chordata, Aves, Galliformes, Phasianidae.
CUGGGAUGGAGGUGAUGUUAAGAACUACUGCCUCUCUGCCUGGGCUGUUCAAAAUGCUUUCCUCGAUUCUCUCUUCCUCUGCUAUCUUUCCCCUGGUGGCUUCCUGGAGAUAAGUCUCAGCUCUUGGCUGGGAACCUCGCCUGGAUUUUUCUACCCUAAGGAAGACACAAAACCUCCUGAACCUCCAACCUUGGAGCCUUCCCCCUGCCCCAGCCCGGCUCACAACGCUGCUGCUGUAUGCCCAUGAGGAGGAACAGAUGAAACACAAGGCAGAAGGAGAAUCUGAAAAUGUUUGAGGCCACGAGAAGUUUCAUUUUAGACAGGACUCACACAUCUGUCUACAGGUCCAUUCUGAAAUACAUCUCUCCCCUCUCCAUGGAGCAGCCUCACACUUUUGAUGUUUCAGCAGCUAGAAAAUCGCAAGCCCUAGGCAACCAUUUAGCUAAGCUCUGGCCUUCCUUUCUUUUUCCUUUUUCUCUAUUUGGAGCAUGACCUGAGGUUUGUAUUCAUUUGUUCAGGUUAAUAAAAA